Molecule: transfer RNA, 86 nt
Filed under: Bacillota bacterium
Lineage: Bacteria; Bacillati; Bacillota
Also listed under: 4 other names
Description: Firmicutes bacterium (sediment metagenome) tRNA-Leu
Rfam family: tRNA
About the family: Transfer RNA (tRNA) molecules are approximately 80 nucleotides in length. Their secondary structure includes four short double-helical elements and three loops (D, anti-codon, and T loops).
Source: RNAcentral
GCCGGGAUGGCGGAACUUGGCAGACGCGCACGCUUGAGGGGCGUGUGGGGUCACCCAUGGGGGUUCAAAUCCCCCUCCCGGCACCA